RNAcentral lists this ribosomal RNA (450 nucleotides) under uncultured bacterium. Its description in RNAcentral is "bacterial SSU rRNA". It matches the Rfam family "Bacterial small subunit ribosomal RNA", at positions 29 to 524 of the family's 1533-position model. The record is from RNAcentral.
AACGAACGCUGGCGGCAUGCCUAACACAUGCAAGUCGAACGAGACCUUCGGGUCUAGUGGCGCACGGGUGCGUAACGCGUGGGAACCUGCCUUUAGGUUCGGAAUAACUCAGAGAAAUUUGAGCUAAUACCGGAUAAUGUCUUCGGACCAAAGAUUUAUCGCCUUUAGAUGGGCCCGCGUAAGAUUAGCUAGUUGGUGGGUAAAGGCCUACCAAGGCGACGAUCUUUAGCUGGUCUGAGAGGAUGAUCAGCCACACUGGGACUGAGACACGGCCCAGACUCCUACGGGAGGCAGCAGUGGGGAAUAUUGGACAAUGGGCGAAAGCCUGAUCCAGCAAUGCCGCGUGAGUGAUGAAGGCCUUAAGGGUUGUAAAGCUCUUUUACCCGAGAUGAUAAUGACAGUAUCGGGAGAAUAAGCUCCGGCUAACUCCGUGCCAGCAGCCGCGGUAAU